GACGAACGCUGGCGGCGUGCUUAACACAUGCAAGUCGAACGAUGAAGAAAAGAAUCGAAGCUUCGACAGAAAUUCAUUUCGGAUUAGUGGCAGACGGGUGAGUAACGCGUGAGCAACCUACCUCUUACAAAGGGAUAGCCUCGGGAAACCGGGAUUAAUACCAUAUAACAUUGUGACGAAGCAUUUCGAUGCAAUCAAAGCUACGGCGGUAAGAGAUGGGCUCGCGUCCCAUUAACCGGAUGGUGAGGUAACGGCUCACCAUAGUGACGAUGGGUAACCGGCCUGAGAGGGUGAACGGUCACACUGGAACUGAGACACGGUCCAGACUCCUACGGGAGGCAGCAGUGGGGAAUAUUGCACAAUGGAGGGAACUCUGAUGCAGCGACGCCGCGUGAGUGAUGAAGGAAUUCGUUUCGUAAAACUCUGUUCUAUGGGAAGAAAAGGACUGUACCAUAGGAGAAAGCUCCGGCUAAAUACGUG
This 480-nucleotide ribosomal RNA is filed under the name uncultured bacterium. RNAcentral's name for it is "partial 16S ribosomal RNA". It matches the Rfam family "Bacterial small subunit ribosomal RNA", at positions 28 to 507 of the family's 1533-position model. The record is from RNAcentral.